Long non-coding RNA from Homo sapiens (human), 1383 nucleotides. The record is from Ensembl. Lineage: Eukaryota; Metazoa; Chordata; Mammalia; Primates; Hominidae.
AUUCCAUCACAGCACACCGUCCAGACAGAUGCAUGUAGUUUCUGAAGAACUGAGAGGCUUUUCUAGAAGCCUAAGCAGACAUUUCCUUGAGCUUCAUCAGCUGUAUUGAACAUGACCAUCCCUAAACAAAUAACUGGUAUCUAGGAAAUGAAGUUGGAGCUGAGGGUAGCUGUCCCCAAAGAAAAUCAAGAAAAGGAAUGAAUCUGGGGCAGUGGAAACAAUGUCUAUCAAAUCUUCCUACCUGUGUACAUUUACCCUGUUUUCCACAAUUCCCUGCUCUACCUGAGAAACCCUUGCUCAUCUAAACUGAUGUAAUUUUGCUGUUUUUAACUCAGGGGACCACUUUCACUAGGUUAUCUCAUCUACUGCCAAGGUCUUAAAUACCAUCCAGGUGACAUGCCUCUUUAAAGAAAUCCUUUCAGUCCAGACCUUUCUCCUGAAUGUAAAAAAAGAUGUUCUCAACCAUCUACUAGAUAUCCACAUUUGUUUUUCUCAAAAGCAUUUCAAACUAUUGUGGGGUUUUGUUUGUUUGUUUUCUUUUUGAGACAGAGUCUCACUCUUGCUGGAGUGCAGUGGCACGAUUUUGGCUCACUGCAGCCUCAGCCUCCUGGGCUCAAGUGAUCCUCCCACCUCAGCCUCCCGAGUAGCUGGGACUACAGGCAUGUGCCACCAUGCCAGCUUAAUUUUUUGGUUGAGACAAGAUUUCACCAUGUUUUCUAAGCUGGCCUUGAACUCCUGGGCUCAAACAGUCUGCCUGCCUUGGCCUCCCCAAGUGUUGGGAUUACAGGCGUCAGCCACCACAUCCAGCCACCAAAGUAUUCUUUUUAAAAAAGAAGCCUUAUAUUUUAGAGGUAGAUGGUAAAAUCUUUACAGAAGAAAUGAUAUGAUAUUUGGGAUUUGCUUCAGAAUAUUUCAGUGGAAGGAGAGCGAGUAGUGUCAGGAUGGCUAAACCAUUAGAUGAAUUGUUGAAGCUGAAGGGUCUUGCUCUGUUGCCUAGGCUGGAGUGCAGUGGUACAAUCAUGGCUUGACCUCCUGGGCUCAAGUGAUCCUCCCACCUCAGCCUCUCAAGUAGCUGGGACUACAGGUGGACACCACCAUGCCAGAGAUGGGGUCUCGCCAUGUUGCCCAGACUGGUCUCCAAUUCCUUGGCUCAAGCGAUCCUCCUGCCUCAGUCUCCCAAAGUGCUGGCAUUACAGGUGGGAGCCACGGCACCCAGCUGAGGAAGUGACAGAGUUGGAUCUGAAACCAGUAUCUAUCACAUGGAAUCUUAUCACACCACUUCUCACCACAUCAUGAUGGAAUCUUACUUACAUUUGUUUCCCUCAGCACUGCCUCCUAAAAUGGCCCCCACAGAGCAGCACAUUAAAAAUAUUUGUUGAAUAG